GCAUGUGAUGAAGCAAAUCAGU
This 22-nucleotide microRNA is filed under the name Homo sapiens (human). RNAcentral's name for it is "hsa-miR-3607-5p". The record is from RNAcentral. Lineage: Eukaryota; Metazoa; Chordata; Mammalia; Primates; Hominidae.